RNAcentral lists this ribosomal RNA (805 nucleotides) under Streptomyces diastaticus. Its description in RNAcentral is "bacterial SSU rRNA". It matches the Rfam family "Bacterial small subunit ribosomal RNA", at positions 46 to 865 of the family's 1533-position model. Lineage: Bacteria; Bacillati; Actinomycetota; Actinomycetes; Kitasatosporales; Streptomycetaceae. The record is from RNAcentral.
GCUUACCAUGCAGUCGAACGAUGAACCAGCCUUCGGGUGGGGAUUAGUGGCGAACGGGUGAGUAACACGUGGGCAAUCUGCCCUGCACUCUGGGACAAGCCCUGGAAACGGGGUCUAAUACCGGAUACUGACCUGCCAAGGCAUCUUGGCGGGUCGAAAGCUCCGGCGGUGCAGGAUGAGCCCGCGGCCUAUCAGCUUGUUGGUGAGGUAAUGGCUCACCAAGGCGACGACGGGUAGCCGGCCUGAGAGGGCGACCGGCCACACUGGGACUGAGACACGGCCCAAACUCCUACGGGAGGCAGCAGUGGGGAAUAUUGCACAAUGGGCGCAAGCCUGAUGCAGCGACGCCGCGUGAGGGAUGACGGCCUUCGGGUUGUAAACCUCUUUCAGCAGGGAAGAAGCGAAAGUGACGGUACCUGCAGAAGAAGCGCCGGCUAACUACGUGCCAGCAGCCGCGGUAAUACGUAGGGCGCAAGCGUUGUCCGGAAUUAUUGGGCGUAAAGAGCUCGUAGGCGGCUUGUCGCGUCGGUUGUGAAAGCCCGGGGCUUAACCCCGGGUCUGCAGUCGAUACGGGCAGGCUAGAGUUCGGUAGGGGAGAUCGGAAUUCCUGGUGUAGCGGUGAAAUGCGCAGAUAUCAGGAGGAACACCGGUGGCGAAGGCGGAUCUCUGGGCCGAUACUGACGCUGAGGAGCGAAAGCGUGGGGAGCGAACAGGAUUAGAUACCCUGGUAGUCCACGCCGUAAACGGUGGGCACUAGGUGUGGGCAACAUUCCACGUUGUCCGUGCCGCAGCUAACGCAUUAAGU